CAAAUCAAUAGCCAACUAAUUUAACAGACAACAUGGUAAAUGAUAAUAUCUCCAGGGGCAACUUCGUGGUUGACAAAACAGGAUCAUGUCCAAUAUCCAACUCUAGAAUGCUAUCUACUUGGAAAGAGAGUUUGUUGGAUAAUUAUUACAAUAAAUCUUAAUUGGCCUUUCAAAGCUAUGCAUAAUCUUUAAAUAUUCAUAAAAAAAAACUUAUGAAUGGCCGCUUACUUGGAAGUCUCACAACAAGCAAGUAACUUACGUCCAUAGUUCAGCGCUCUACAGAAAACCUGCAGCCUGAUCAUUCAGAUUCAGAAGAUGAUAUCAUCAUCCUUCUCAGCCCCUGCAACAAGUAUGUUGUGAGCGGCAUUCAUGGAGAUCCCCUUCUGCAGCGAUAUCUUCUCCGCAAUCUGAUCCUCAGCAAACUCCCUCGCAGAAAUCAUCUGCCGCUCCAUCUCACGCUUCUUGUACCCCUGGAUCUUCUUCAGACGGAAGAAGUCCUCACGCUCGAGCUCAUCGAGCUCGCCCUUAAUGUAGCUAAUAGUGUUCUCAAUCCUCGGCUUAACAACAUUCUCAAGAGCAUUAACACGGCGAUUGGUGGUCUUGAUCGCAUCAUCGAGGGUAAGGAACGAAGUCUGGAGGGAAGCAAGCUCAACCAGGACCUCAAUAGCCUUGAUGUGGGCGGCGCGGCAGGCAUGGACCUGCUGGCCGCCGCGGGCGAGGCCGGUGAGGUCGGCCUUCGAAUCGGAUGCUGCAGUGUCGGUGAAGUGCUCGAAGCGUGGGAGCUUCACGCCGGCGACGUUGACGGAGGAUGAGCGGACGCGGACGGAGGCAGAUCGGACGGAUUCGAGGACGGAGUGCUUGAUGUUGUCGCCGGCGGCGUACUUGGCCUCAGUGAGGGCGAAGGACGACGCACGCAUGAUCUCGCCCAUGGCCUCCUUGGUGGAGACGAUGUUCUUGAGGAUUGCGCGGAACUGGACGGUGAGGGCGUCACUCUUCUUCUUGAGAAGAGCGUGGCCGCGGGUGGCGCCGACGAGGCGGGCCUUCAUCACACCCAACGUCGUCACCGUCGGCACCACGUUCAGGCGCUGCGUUUGGCCCGACAUCGUUGCCGAUCAGGCGUCCUCUGUGAUGACGG
Molecule: unclassified non-coding RNA, 1135 nt
Filed under: Hevea brasiliensis (rubber tree)
Lineage: Eukaryota; Viridiplantae; Streptophyta; Magnoliopsida; Malpighiales; Euphorbiaceae
Source: RNAcentral